This 462-nucleotide ribosomal RNA is filed under the name uncultured bacterium. Its description in RNAcentral is "bacterial SSU rRNA". It matches the Rfam family "Bacterial small subunit ribosomal RNA", at positions 30 to 501 of the family's 1533-position model. The record is from RNAcentral.
AUUGAACGCUGGCGGCAUGCUUUACACAUGCAAGUCGAACGAGAACGGAUUAUAGCUUGCUAUAAUUGUCAGCUAAGUGGCGCACAGGUGAGUAAUGUAUAGGUAAUAUGCCUCUUACUAAGGGAUAACAAAUGGAAACGUUUGCUAAUACCUUAUACUCCUUAUUAACAGAAGUUAAUAAGGGAAAGAUUUAUUGGUAAGAGAUUAGCCUGUAUUGUAUCAGUUAGUUGGUGGGGUAAUGGCUUACCAAGACUAUGACACAUAACUGGUUUGAGAGGAUGAUCAGUCACACUGGAACUGAGACACGGUCCAGACUCCUACGGGAGGCAGCAGUGGGGAAUAUUGCACAAUGGACGAAAGUCUGAUGCAGCAACGCCGCGUGGAGGAUGACACAUUUCGGUGCGUAAACUCCUUUUAUAUGAGAAGAUAAUGACGGUAUUAUAUGAAUAAGCACCGGCUAAC